CUCUAUUUGACUUCAACUACAAGAGAGAUGCCAAGCUGAGACCAGUUAAGCCACAGAACUCUUUUACCUUCGUUAACUCAAACCUGCACCCAUCUGAAGUGAAACCAGCAACCAUUUAACAGCAAACAGUAGCAGCAGCAUGCACCAAAAGAGAAUGGAAAGUGAAAAGAACACAACAGAUCAUUUUAAAAGUAGUGUGUCAAUUGCCUGGUUCUCCACUGACAGCUAAAAUUAAACAAAAAAGUGAAUUCCGUUCUACAGUGUGACCAUCUUAUGGGAACACUAGAGGAUAUCCAUAGACAGCAGAGAAAAAAUAGCAAAAUAGAUAUUUUGACUCACAGAAAAUGAAUGUUUGCAAAGAUUCACCAAGAAAUAAAGUCAACCAAAAAAGCAAAGUCAUGGAAAAGAAUUUUUCAUCCAGUGACUACCAAAUGGAGGAAUUAUCGUCUUGAAGGGGAACGUAUCAAUCACUUAAGGAAACUAGAUGGGAGACUGAAGGUGGCAAAAGGAGAGGCAUAGCAAAUGGAAGAAGGUGUCCUAGAGUCACUCUUAAA
RNAcentral lists this long non-coding RNA (554 nucleotides) under Homo sapiens (human). Its description in RNAcentral is "long intergenic non-protein coding RNA 692". Lineage: Eukaryota; Metazoa; Chordata; Mammalia; Primates; Hominidae. The record is from RNAcentral.